AUCAGAAUGCCACCGGGUAUUCAAGAUGCAGCUAAGCAUCCGUAUACACAUCGUUAGGUCUUUGAAGAUGUGUAUACGGAUGCUUUUUUCAG
This 92-nucleotide non-coding RNA is filed under the name unclassified sequences. The record is from RNAcentral.